RNAcentral lists this ribosomal RNA (879 nucleotides) under Talaromyces radicus. RNAcentral's name for it is "SSU rRNA". It matches the Rfam family "Eukaryotic small subunit ribosomal RNA", at positions 142 to 941 of the family's 1831-position model. The record is from RNAcentral. Lineage: Eukaryota; Fungi; Ascomycota; Eurotiomycetes; Eurotiales; Trichocomaceae.
GAUAUGCUAGUCAUAUGCUUGUCUCAAGUCGUAACAAGGUUUCACUGUAGUCAUAUGCUUGUCUCAAGUCGUAACAAGGUUUCACUGUAGUCAUAUGCUUGUCUCAAGUCGUAACACGGUUUAACUGCCCCGACUUCUUAAGGGGUGUAUUUAUUAGAUAAAAAACCAAUGCCCUUCGGGGCUCCUUGGUGAUUCAUAAUAACUUAACGAAUCGCAUGGCCUUGCGCCGGCGAUGGUUCAUUCAAAUUUCUGCCCUAUCAACUUUCGAUGGUAGGAUAGUGGCCUACCAUGGUGGCAACGGGUAACGGGGAAUUAGGGUUCGAUUCCGGAGAGGGAGCCUGAGAAACGGCUACCACAUCCAAGGAAGGCAGCAGGCGCGCAAAUUACCCAAUCCCGAUCCGGGGAGGUAGUGACAAUAAAUACUGAUAUAGGGCUCUUUUGGGUCUUAUAAUUGGAAUGAGUACAAUCUAAAUCUCUUAACGAGGAACAAUUGGAGGGCAAGUCUGGUGCCAGCAGCCGCGGUAAUUCCAGCUCCAAUAGCGUAUAUUAAAGUUGUUGCAGUUAAAAAGCUCGUAGUUGAACCUUGGGCCCGUCCUGCCGGUCCGCCUCACCGCGAGUACUGGUCCGGAUGGGUCUUUCUUUCUGGGGAAUCCCAUGGCCUUCACUGGCUGUGGCGGGGAACCAGGACUUUUACUGUGAAAAAAUUAGAGUGUUCAAAGCAGGCCUUUGCUCGGAUACAUUAGCAUGGAAUAAUAAAAUAGGACGUGUGGUUCUAUUUUUGUUGGUUUCUAGGACCGCCGUAAUGAUUAAUAGGGAUAGUCGGGGGCGUCAGUAUUCAGCUGUCAGAGGUGAAAUUCUUGGAUUUGCUGAAGACUAACU